AUACGGAGGGUGCGAGCGUUAAUCGGAAUUACUGGGCGUAAAGCGUGCGUAGGCGGUUUGCUAAGUCAGAUGUGAAAGCCCCGGGCUUAACCUGGGAACUGCAUUUGAUACUGGCAGACUAGAGUAUGAUAGAGGGGGGUAGAAUUCCUGGUGUAGCGGUGAAAUGCGUAGAUAUCAGGAGGAAUACCAGUGGCGAAGGCGGCCCCCUGGAUCAAUACUGACGCUGAGGUACGAAAGCGUGGGGAGCAAACAGGAUUAGAAACCCUGGUAGUCC
RNAcentral lists this ribosomal RNA (274 nucleotides) under uncultured bacterium. Its description in RNAcentral is "partial 16S ribosomal RNA". It matches the Rfam family "Bacterial small subunit ribosomal RNA", at positions 523 to 796 of the family's 1533-position model. The record is from RNAcentral.